GACGAACGCUGGCGGCGUGCUAAACACAUGCAAGUCGAACGGAAAGGCCCUGCUUUUGUGGGGUGCUCGAGUGGCGAACGGGUGAGUAACACGUGAGUAACCUGCCCUUGACUUUGGGAUAACUUCAGGAAACUGGGGCUAAUACCGGAUAGGAGCUCCUGCUGCAUGGUGGGGGUUGGAAAGUUUCGGCGGUUGGGGAUGGACUCGCGGCUUAUCAGCUUGUUGGUGGGGUAGUGGCUUACCAAGGCUUUGACGGGUAGCCGGCCUGAGAGGGUGACCGGCCACAUUGGGACUGAGAUACGGCCCAGACUCCUACGGGAGGCAGCAGUGGGGAAUAUUGCACAAUGAGCGGAAGCCUGAUGCAGCAACGCCGCGUGCGGGAUGACGGCCUUCGGGUUGUAAACCGCUUUCGCCUGUGACGAAGCGUGAGUGACGGUAAUGGGUAAAGAAGCACCGGCUAACUACGUG
This 468-nucleotide ribosomal RNA is filed under the name uncultured bacterium. RNAcentral describes it as "partial 16S ribosomal RNA". It matches the Rfam family "Bacterial small subunit ribosomal RNA", at positions 28 to 507 of the family's 1533-position model. The record is from RNAcentral.